RNAcentral lists this long non-coding RNA (217 nucleotides) under Serinus canaria (Common canary). RNAcentral describes it as "lncRNA (ENSSCAG00000009200.1)". Lineage: Eukaryota; Metazoa; Chordata; Aves; Passeriformes; Fringillidae. The record is from RNAcentral.
AUGUUCUAGCAAGUGAGCCUGAAUUCCUUUUCAGGAUCAUCUCCCAGUCGGUUAGGAAAAAGAAACAAGAGGAAGAUCAGAAACAUGUGAGACUAGAAAGUCACAGGUAUUUCUGUCUUCAGCAAAUAUUCCAAAGUUGCCAAAAUAAAGAAGGGCACAUCAUAAUCACAGAAGAGGGAGCCUUGAAGGAGAGUCCAUGAAAUCCAGGAAGAAAGAC